Molecule: transfer RNA, 89 nt
Filed under: Verrucomicrobiota bacterium
Lineage: Bacteria; Pseudomonadati; Verrucomicrobiota
Description: Verrucomicrobia bacterium (mine drainage metagenome) tRNA-Ser
Rfam family: tRNA
About the family: Transfer RNA (tRNA) molecules are approximately 80 nucleotides in length. Their secondary structure includes four short double-helical elements and three loops (D, anti-codon, and T loops).
Source: RNAcentral
GGAAGGAUGGCUGAGCUUGGUUGAAGGCGCUCGACUCGAAAUCGAGUUUGCGGGGAACCGCAACGUGGGUUCGAAUCCCACUCCUUCCG